RNAcentral lists this ribosomal RNA (164 nucleotides) under uncultured bacterium. Its description in RNAcentral is "partial 16S ribosomal RNA". The record is from RNAcentral.
UAUUACCGCGGCUGCUGGCACGUAGUUAGCCGUGGCUUUCUGGUUAAAUACCGUCAAUACCUGAACAGUUACUCUCAGAUAUGUUCUUCUUUAACAACAGAGUUUUACGAGCCGAAACCCUUCUUCACUCACGCGGCGUUGCUCCAUCAGACUUUCGUCCAUUG